GGCUCCGUGGUCAAGAGGUCAAGACAUCGCCCUUUCACGGCGGUAACGCGGGUUCGAUUCCCGCCGGAGUCACCA
Molecule: transfer RNA, 75 nt
Filed under: Clostridia bacterium
Lineage: Bacteria; Bacillati; Bacillota; Clostridia
Description: tRNA-Glu
Rfam family: tRNA
About the family: Transfer RNA (tRNA) molecules are approximately 80 nucleotides in length. Their secondary structure includes four short double-helical elements and three loops (D, anti-codon, and T loops).
Source: RNAcentral